This 508-nucleotide ribosomal RNA is filed under the name Candida albicans. RNAcentral describes it as "eukaryotic LSU rRNA". The stretch from base 143 to 296 matches the Rfam family "5.8S ribosomal RNA". The record is from RNAcentral. Lineage: Eukaryota; Fungi; Ascomycota; Pichiomycetes; Serinales; Debaryomycetaceae.
GUGCUCUGAUGCUUAUUGCACCACAUGUGUUUUUCUUUGAAACGAACUUGCUUUGGCGGUGGGCCCAGCCUGCCGCCAGAGGUCUAAACUUACAACCAAUUUUUUAUCAACUUGUCACACCAGAUUAUUACUUAAUAGUCAAAACUUUCAACAACGGAUCUCUUGGUUCUCGCAUCGAUGAAGAACGCAGCGAAAUGCGAUACGUAAUAUGAAUUGCAGAUAUUCGUGAAUCAUCGAAUCUUUGAACGCACAUUGCGCCCUCUGGUAUUCCGGAGGGCAUGCCUGUUUGAGCGUCGUUUCUCCCUCAAACCGCUGGGUUUGGUGUUGAGCAAUACGACUUGGGUUUGCUUGAAAGACGGUAGUGGUAAGGCGGGAUCGCUUUGACAAUGGCUUAGGUCUAACCAAAAACAUUGCUUGCGGCGGUAACGUCCACCACGUAUAUCUUCAAACUUUGACCUCAAAUCAGGUAGGACUACCCGCUGAACUUAAGCAUAUCAAAAGCGGGGAG